GCUGUUGGUGCCAAAACCAAGUAGUUUUUUUACUGCAACUUCAAUCCCACUUGGCAUUUUUCCAUGGUAAACAAUCCCAGCUCCUCCUCUCCCAAUUACAUUUCCAUCUUUCACACAUUCCAGGAUGUCUGUGACAGUGAAUUCCAGCUUUUGAAAAGCUGUCAGCUUCCAGGAAUCCGAGCUGUUUUUCUUGAAAGACUUGGCUUUGAUUAUAGCAGCAGUUGCAAAUAUCAGCGAACAUAUCAGCAGGCCUAGAGCAAAGAUGAGCUUGAAGUCACCAGGGGAU
This 286-nucleotide long non-coding RNA is filed under the name Manihot esculenta (cassava). RNAcentral's name for it is "long non-coding RNA (MESC_LNC003784)". The record is from RNAcentral. Lineage: Eukaryota; Viridiplantae; Streptophyta; Magnoliopsida; Malpighiales; Euphorbiaceae.